Molecule: ribosomal RNA, 253 nt
Filed under: uncultured bacterium
Lineage: Bacteria
Description: partial 16S ribosomal RNA
Rfam family: Bacterial small subunit ribosomal RNA
Source: RNAcentral
UACGUAGGGGGCAAGCGUUGUCCGGAUUCAUUGGGCGUAAAGAGCGUGUAGGCGGCCAGGUAGGUCGGUUGUGAAAACUGGAGGCUCAACCUUCAGAGGUCGACCGAAACCAUCUGGCUAGAGUCCGGGAGAGGAGAGUGGAAUUCCUGGUGUAGCGGUGAAAUGCGCAGAUAUCAGGAAGAACACCCGUGGCGAAGGCGGCGCUCUGGACCGAGACUGACGCUGAGGCGCGAAAGCGUGGGGAGCAAACAGG